Orbilia brochopaga is the source of this 112-nucleotide non-coding RNA. Lineage: Eukaryota; Fungi; Ascomycota; Orbiliomycetes; Orbiliales; Orbiliaceae. The record is from the annotation of a GenBank genome assembly.
GUUCGCGUGGAGUAGUGGUUAUCUCGCCAGAUCCACAUGACCAGCUGAGGCAUCUACAGCUCGGCUGAGUUGGGGACUCUGGACGUCGUCGGUUCGAACCCGGCCGCGAACA